AUGACCUCCUCCAUCCCCACCCCCCCGGCGGCGGCGGCGGCGCCCGAGUCACCGUCCACCAUCACGGACGGCGCGGUCAGCGGCACACUCCCGGGGGCCGAGGCCUUCGCCGUGCACUACCCCGGAUACCCCUCCUCUCCCGCUCGCGCCACCCAUACCCUCGGCGGCCUCCCCGCCAUCGCCAAGGUCCGGAGUUCCGACCCCGGCUCCCGCCUCGAGCUCCGCUUCCGCCCGGAGGACCCCGACUGCCACCCGACCUUCGGCGAGCCCCGCGCCUCCACUGGCCUGCUCCUCCGCCUCUCAAGGCCCAAGGGAGGCUCCGCGCCACCGCGUGCCGAGGUGGUGGCGCGCGUUCGGACCGCCUACCAUUUCGAUGGCAUGGCAGAUUUUCAGCAUGUCGUCCCAGUUCAUGCUGCUCAAGUGAGAAAAAGAAAACGGUUAGAUUGUCCCAGUGUUAAAGAUGAUUUAGGCACUGAUAAGGCAGGAGGUCUAGACACGGAUGAUGGAGAUGUCAUGAUGUUGGUACCACCACUCUUCGCAAUAAAGGAUAAUCCAACAAACAUAGCGCUUCUACCAUCGACCAAUGCACUAUCCAAGAGCAUGCAAAGGGGAGUUGUGCGGCAUCGGUGGGAGAUGGAUAUUGAACCAACCCUUGCGCUUCCUUUCAACAUUCAAGCUGUCCCCAAGAAGGUUAACUGGGAAGGCCACAUACCAAGGAAUUCAUCAGAGUGGGAUUCGCAGAUGGCUGUGUGCAAAUUAUUUGACGAGCGUCCUGUGUGGCCAAGACAGUCACUUUAUGAACGUUUGCUUGAUGAUGGUGUGCAUGUGUCAACAAGCCAGUUCAAAAGCCUUUUGUUUAAAGCUGGAUACUACUUCUCUACUGGACCCUUUGGUAAAUUCUGGAUCAAAAAAGAAUAUGAUCCUCGUAAAGAUCCCGAGUCACGAAUAUAUCAGCGAAUUGAUUUUCGCAUGCCUCCUGAGCUAAGGAAUCUUCAAACGAAAAGGCACGAUGGAUCUGAGAAGUGGUCAGAGAUGUGCAAGCUUGAAAGGAUGCCAUCGAAAAGUUUCAUCUUCCUGCAAUUAUUUGAACUGAAGGAUGACUUCAUUCAAGCCGAAAUUAGAAAACCUUCUCAUCAAUCAACUUGCUCAAAAUCUCACUGUACAAUCAUUGUAAGUGUCUUGUUGAGGGAAAGUGUCAGACUACGUAGUUUUUCUGUUGCAAGCAGCUCUGCUUGCGUACCUUCAUCGACCACUUUUAAUCAUACCAAGUUCUCCCAAAUUUGCUGUGAUCAUAAUCUGUGUUGGUUUUCUAAGCCAAUGAUUAAAAGUUUGAGGUUACAACUAUGCAUAAGGUUCCUCUCAUUAUGUCCUAAUGAAGAUGCCAAAACCCUUUUGAGAAGUUCCCAUCAACUUCUUGAAAGGUCCAAAAAGCAGGAAGCUAUUUGCAGAUCCGAGCAACUGAAGGAAAGAAAAGAUGUUGAUGAAGAAGCGCCUGCUGAACAUGUUGGAUCUGAGGAUCAGAUGGACACUAACAACUCUGAUAGUGAAGAUGCUGAUGACGAGGAAGAGGAAGAUAAAGAGGAAUCAGAUGGUUAUGAUUCUCCAGCCAUGGCCGAGGAUGUUCCUGAUUUCGCCUUACAUGAGUCCUACACACUUGGAGAAGGCUUCUCCACUGGAUACCUUGAGGAGGUGUUGCGCAGCUUUCCACUGAAUGAAGAUGGCCAGAAUAAAUCAGGUGAUGCCCUUAAUAAUGGUGAAGCAAGUGAUGGGGAGUUUGAAAUUUUCGAACAGCCUAGUGACGAUGAAGAGUAUUCCGAUGGUUAG
Molecule: ribosomal RNA, 1824 nt
Filed under: Triticum aestivum (bread wheat)
Lineage: Eukaryota; Viridiplantae; Streptophyta; Magnoliopsida; Poales; Poaceae
Description: partial small subunit ribosomal RNA
Source: RNAcentral